Molecule: ribosomal RNA, 274 nt
Filed under: uncultured bacterium
Lineage: Bacteria
Description: partial 16S ribosomal RNA
Rfam family: Bacterial small subunit ribosomal RNA
Source: RNAcentral
CUACGGAGGGUCCAAGCGUUAUCCGGAUUCAUUGGGUUUAAAGGGUCCGCAGGCGGGAAAAUAAGUCAGUGGUGAAAGCCUACAGCUCAACUGUAGAACUGCCAUUGAUACUGUUUUUCUUGAGUAUAGAUGAAGUGGGCGGAAUAUAUCAUGUAGCGGUGAAAUGCAUAGAUAUGAUAUAGAACACCGAUUGCGAAGGCAGCUCACUAAACUAUUUCUGACGCUCAGGGACGAAAGCGUGGGGAGCGAACAGGAUUAGAUACCCUUGUAGUCC